This 234-nucleotide ribosomal RNA is filed under the name Glomus sp. RNAcentral describes it as "partial small subunit ribosomal RNA". It matches the Rfam family "Eukaryotic small subunit ribosomal RNA", at positions 548 to 781 of the family's 1831-position model. Lineage: Eukaryota; Fungi; Glomeromycota; Glomeromycetes; Glomerales; Glomeraceae. The record is from RNAcentral.
UUGGAGGGCAAGUCUGGUGCCAGCAGCCGCGGUAAUUCCAGCUCCAAUAGCGUAUAUUAAAGUUGUUGCAGUUAAAAAGCUCGUAGUUGAAUUUCGGGGUUAGUAGGUUGGUCAUGCCUCUGGUAUGUACUGGUCUCACUGAUUCCUCCUUCCUGAUGAGCCGUAAUGCCAUUAAUUUGGUGUUGCGGAGUAGUCUGGUACUUGUAAACUUUGAAAAUUAGUAAGUGUUAAAGC